Musa acuminata subsp. malaccensis (wild Malaysian banana) is the source of this 1324-nucleotide non-coding RNA. The record is from RefSeq and is a predicted model, not a curated record. Lineage: Eukaryota; Viridiplantae; Streptophyta; Magnoliopsida; Zingiberales; Musaceae.
CCACAGUGACACUACUCUUCAAUUCCUUUCUUUCCUUAAAUAAUCUUCGAUUCCUUUCAUCACAUCUUAUCUACAAGUCUUUGUUUGUGAUGAUUGUUGUACAUCAUGUGUCUUUCAUGUUCUUGGAUUUUGAUUUAGGAGACUGUGACUUGCCUGAUCUGGUGGUGAACUCUCCUAUGGUGCCCAGUGCAGUUAUAUGUCAGCUCGGUUGGUCACCCAUCUCCUCCUGUUCUUGAAUCUGUGAAGGCCUAAUGAGCCGAGAUGGUGAUUGUUUCGGUUGAUGAAGUAGGAGAGCAGGAGACUGGUGCCUGCCAGGGGCAAAGUACCAACCACCAAGGCAGUCCCACUCGAAGGUUUCGGAAGGCUUCAACCAAAUUGUCAUGGAUCACAAUUCUCCUUGUCCAUGAUGCAUUCAUUCUACUUCAUGUGCUGCAUCACCGACUCAUUCAUCUCACAGAAUGGAGUAGGCCACCCAUGUCCUUCGCUGCUUGACCUUCGAUCUAGUUGAAGCAGAUUGAUGUGGUGGUGCAUCAAUUCUGCACCAACUUCUCCUCCUCGGCUUCCGCACUGUUUCAUCACAGCCAGUGGUUGUGGUCGACAUUAAUGGCGCAGAGGUGAGCAGCAGCCAGCGGCAGAUAACAUCAAGCUUUAUGCGGAGGGUGGUUGACGGUCUCAACCAACCUGUGGGGUGUGCCUUGUGCGUCCACAAAUCGACAUGCUCCUCAUACAUUCCUUAGGGUUCACCAUGCAAUGAUCUGCAAAGGAGCUGCCAGUGAUUGGCUCUUCAGUGAGAAAACAAGAUUUCAGAACAUGCUUCCAUGGCAAGACAGCAGAUAUGUGAAGGACACAUGAAACUACAACCAAGAAAAGGCCUGAGACAGUGAACAAACAUACAUGACUGGAUCCAACUCUUGCUGGUACCAUUCUCGCUAGUAGCUGAGCCAUUAUUCCCUUUCAUAAUUGAAGAUAAGAAUGUGGAUAAUUCAUGCAAUGGUCCAGCCAUGGAGGUAGGGCCUCAAGAUAAGGAUGGUGAACUGUGCCCCAAGGAUUUACACUCAAUAACUUUCUCCUCCUACCUUGCCAGUUGCAGAGAUGAUGUUGUAAGCCCACAUCCACCACCAAUGGUGAGGUCAGGUGGGAGGGAGAGUCAGUCAGUGUGGGACUUGUUUCUGGACUUUUAAGAUAAGUUUCUCUGUGAUUGGACUGCGAUUGGAUGGAUGCCUUCAUCUUCUUAUCCACUCAAACAAUGCCUUCAUCUUUCCAAAAAAUCAGUUAUUUGGCUGAAUAAAAGUUUCUUAUUAUGAUAAGAAAAUAAUGUAGCAGU